AAAUUCUAGAAUAUACACCCUCCCNAAUCCAGGAAGGGUCCUUUAUCUGUUAAAAAACAUUUUUUUUUUAUCUGUUAAUUGAGGGGGGCAAGCCUAACAUGCAGUCGGGGAUGAGAGAGCUGCUCCUGAUUCAGCGGCGAACGGGUAGUAUGCCUAGGAAUCUGCCUGGUAGUGGGGGACAACGUUUCGAAAGGAACGCUAAUACCGCAUACGUCCUACGGGAGAAAGCAGGGGACCUUCGGGCCUUGCGCUAUCAGAUGAGCCUAGGUCGGAUUAGCUAGUUGGUGAGGUAAUGGCUCACCAAGGCGACGAUCCGUAACUGGUCUGAGAGGAUGAUCAGUCACACUGGAACUGAGACACGGUCCAGACUCCUACGGGAGGCAGCAGUGGGGAAUAUUGGACAAUGGGCGAAAGCCUGAUCCAGCCAUGCCGCGUGUGUGAAGAAGGUCUUCGGAUUGUAAAGCACUUUAAGUUGGGAGGAAGGGCAGUAACUUAAUACGUUGCUGUUUUGACGUUACCGACAGAAUAAGCACCGGCUAACUCUGUGCCAGCAGCCGCGGUAAUACAGAGGGUGCAAGCGUUAAUCGGAAUUACUGGGCGUAAAGCGCGCGUAGGUGGUUCGUUAAGUUGGAUGUGAAAUCCCCGGGCUCAACCUGGGAACUGCAUUCUAAAACUGUCGAGCUAGAGUAUGGUAGAGGGUGGUGGAAUUUCCUGUGUAGCGGUGAAAUGCGUAGAUAUAGGAAGGAACACCAGUGGCGAAGGCGACCACCUGGACUGAUACUGACACUGAGGUGCGAAAGCGUGGGGAGCAAACAGGAUUAGAUACCCUGGUAGUCCACGCCGUAAACGAUGUCAACUAGCCGUUGGGAGCCUUGAGCUCUUAGUGGCGCAGCUAACGCAUUAAGUGACCGCCGUGGGCAGAUCGGCCGCACAGAGCCUUUGCAACUCGGGAUUUUCCCCAA
RNAcentral lists this ribosomal RNA (962 nucleotides) under Pseudomonas sp. BE4-4-16. Its description in RNAcentral is "bacterial SSU rRNA". It matches the Rfam family "Bacterial small subunit ribosomal RNA". The record is from RNAcentral. Lineage: Bacteria; Pseudomonadati; Pseudomonadota; Gammaproteobacteria; Pseudomonadales; Pseudomonadaceae.